GGCGGCGUGCUUAACACAUGCAAGUCGAACGGAAAGGCCCUUCGGGGUACUCGAGUGGCGAACGGGUGAGUAACACGUGGGUGAUCUGCCCUGCACUUUGGGAUAAGCCUGGGAAACUGGGUCUAAUACCGAAUAGGACCACGCGCUUCAUGGUGUGUGGUGGAAAGCUUUUGCGGUGUGGGAUGGGCCCGCGGCCUAUCAGCUUGUUGGUGGGGUAAUGGCCUACCAAGGCGACGACGGGUAGCCGGCCUGAGAGGGUGACCGGCCACACUGGGACUGAGAUACGGCCCAGACUCCUACGGGAGGCAGCAGUGGGGAAUAUUGCACAAUGGGCGCAAGCCUGAUGCAGCGACGCCGCGUGAGGGAUGACGGCCUUCGGGUUGUAAACCUCUUUCAAUAGGGACGAAGCGCAAGUGACGGUACCUAUAGAAGAAGCACCGGCCAACUACGUGCCAGCAGCCGCGGUAAUACGUAGGGUGCGAGCGUUGUCCGGAAUUACUGGGCGUAAAGAGCUCGUAGGUGGUUUGUCGCGUUGUUCGUGAAAACUCACAGCUUAACUGUGGGCGUGCGGGCGAUACGGGCAGACUAGAGUACUGCAGGGGAGACUGGAAUUCCUGGUGUAGCGGUGGAAUGCGCAGAUAUCAGGAGGAACACCGGUGGCGAAGGCGGGUCUCUGGGCAGUAACUGACGCUGAGGAGCGAAAGCGUGGGGAGCGAACAGGAUUAGAUACCCUGGUAGUCCACGCCGUAAACGGUGGGUACUAGGUGUGGGUUCCUUCCUUGGGAUCCGUGCCGUAGCUAACGCAUUAAGUACCCCGCCUGGGGAGUACGGCCGCAAGGCUAAAACUCAAAGGAAUUGACGGGGGCCCGCACAAGCGGCGGAGCAUGUGGAUUAAUUCGAUGCAACGCGAAGAACCUUACCUGGGUUUGACAUGCACAGGACGCCGGCAGAGAUGUCGGUUCCCUUGUGGCCUGUGUGCAGGUGGUGCAUGGCUGUCGUCAGCUCGUGUCGUGAGAUGUUGGGUUAAGUCCCGCAACGAGCGCAACCCUUGUCCUAUGUUGCCAGCGGGUUAUGCCGGGGACUCGUAGGAGACUGCCGGGGUCAACUCGGAGGAAGGUGGGGAUGACGUCAAGUCAUCAUGCCCCUUAUGUCCAGGGCUUCACACAUGCUACAAUGGCCGGUACAAAGGGCUGCGAUGCCGUGAGGUGGAGCGAAUCCUUUCAAAGCCGGUCUCAGUUCGGAUCGGGGUCUGCAACUCGACCCCGUGAAGUCGGAGUCGCUAGUAAUCGCAGAUCAGCAACGCUGCGGUGAAUACGUUCCCGGGCCUUGUACACACCGCCCGUCACGUCAUGAAAGUCGGUAACACCCGAAGCCGGUGGCCUAACCCUUGUGGAGGGAGCCGUCGAAGGUGGGAUCGGCGAUUG
This 1424-nucleotide ribosomal RNA is filed under the name Mycobacterium sp. RNAcentral describes it as "bacterial SSU rRNA". It matches the Rfam family "Bacterial small subunit ribosomal RNA". The record is from RNAcentral. Lineage: Bacteria; Bacillati; Actinomycetota; Actinomycetes; Mycobacteriales; Mycobacteriaceae.